Molecule: long non-coding RNA, 181 nt
Organism: Sander lucioperca (pikeperch)
Lineage: Eukaryota; Metazoa; Chordata; Actinopteri; Perciformes; Percidae
Exons: 2
Source: RefSeq, a predicted model, not a curated record
GUUUGUCAUGUGACCGAUGACGGAGCUACACCGGGGCUAGUCUCUCAUGUCCAGACCUUCCUCCACAGAGCUGUGGAGGAAGGUCUCUCAUGUCCAGACCUUCCCGUGUUGAGUAAGAUGUUCACACCGGUGAUAUGAUAUAUGUCAACCCUGUACCAUGACUGGACCAACCACCAAACCA